This 468-nucleotide ribosomal RNA is filed under the name uncultured bacterium. RNAcentral's name for it is "partial 16S ribosomal RNA". It matches the Rfam family "Bacterial small subunit ribosomal RNA", at positions 28 to 507 of the family's 1533-position model. The record is from RNAcentral.
GACGAACGCUGGCGGCGUGCUUAACACAUGCAAGUCGAACGGAAAGGCCCUGCUUUUGUGGGGUGCUCGAGUGGCGAACGGGUGAGUAACACGUGAGUAACCUGCCCUUGACUUUGGGAUAACUUCAGGAAACUGGGGCUAAUACAGGAUAGGAGCUCCUGCUGCAUGGUGGGGGUUGGAAAGUUUCGGCGGUUGGGGAUGGACUCGCGGCUUAUCAGCUUGUUGGUGGGGUAGUGGUUUACCAAGGCUUUGACGGGUAGCCGGCCUGGGAGGGUGACCGGCCUCCUUGGGCCUGCGGUACGGCCCAGACUCCUACGUUAGGCAGCAGUGGGGAAUAUUGCACAAUGGGCGGAAGUCUGAUGCAGCAACGCUGCGUUCGUGAUGCCGUCCUUCUGGUUGUAAACCGCUUUCGCCUGUGACGAAGCGUGAGUGACGGUAAUGGGUAAAGAAGCACCGGCUAACUACGUG